GGGGCUAGCAACGGCAGGUGAUUGGAAGGGGAAGAUCACGUGGGUAGCGGGGUGGCGCAACAAGUUAGGUUUUGCCUCUCCAGAGCUGGUAGGUUUUACUCCUCCACCCCACUCCAAGGGGCUCGUUUCCGUAAAAGGGAAACAUUUUGGGGACAGGAGCCAUUUUAGAAUGUAGGAGUGCUGGGGCCAUUUUUGUCUAGAGAACUAUAUCAGUAACAGCAUCCAUUAUGCUACUCUUAGAGAAGUUAACUGCAGGACACUUUGAGAAUCAAGACUCAGCAUUCAGGCUGGAGAGGAGAGAGGGUGAGGAGGGAACCCUGCAACACCUAAACUGAGUCUACAAGGUUUGUCAGGAUCCAGUCAUCAAGCUGAAAUAGGUCGAUCUGCUCUUAUUGACAACAGAUGUGUCUCAGUCACCCAGAAGAUGGAGAUGUAAGAAGCAACUGCAGUCAAAACAAACCUUCCUGACAACCAAUGACCCAGUGACAUUGGAGAAGCCCCCGACAGCAAAAUCGCCAGAGCUUGGACCCAGAUGUGGAAAGCAUGGGCAAGCGCAGGAAUGGAAAGAAGCAAUGCAGAGAGUGAGAAAUAAGAAUACAGAGCUCACAAUCAGAAGCAGCCAAAGCAGCAUAGCAGCUGAGAGCAGAGCUCUGCAGCCACACUGCCUGGGUUUGAAACUCAGAUCUAACUCGUGAUCUGCGCAGCUUUGGCCAAUGUCUGAACAUGAGUGUUCUUCAGUGUCCUUGAUUUUUCAUGAGUACAUCCCAGAACCUGCCCCUUGAAAGACUGUUGUGACUAUUGACCAAGUUAAUAUAUGCAAAGGGCUUGAAACUAAGUUGGCAAUUUAACAAGUACUCAGGAAAUGUUAACUGUAAUUAUUCUUCUGUGUGUGUUGGAUACCUGUAAGCAUAAAGUGCAUAGAAGUGACCUUCAGGUAAUGAUGAAGUGCUCCUGUAAACACUGACUCAGGAGACCUAAGUGAGGGAGCUCUUGUCCACUAUGUCCCCUCCCAUGACUGUGACUAAAGACCAAGACACACGAGCCGUCUUUCCUCAAACUGACUCUGGAAUACUGGACUUAUUCUUGAAUAGUUAAGACUUUAAAAG
This 1106-nucleotide long non-coding RNA is filed under the name Fukomys damarensis (Damara mole-rat). Its description in RNAcentral is "lncRNA (ENSFDAG00000021679.1)". Lineage: Eukaryota; Metazoa; Chordata; Mammalia; Rodentia; Bathyergidae. The record is from RNAcentral.